AACGAACGCUGGCGGCAUGCCUAACACAUGCAAGUCGAACGAGACCUUCGGGUCUAGUGGCGCACGGGUGCGUAACGCGUGGGAACCUGCCCUUAGGUUCGGAAUAACUCCCCGAAAGGGGUGCUAAUACCGGAUAAUGUCUUCGGACCAAAGAUUUAUCGCCUUUGGAUGGGCCCGCGUUGGAUUAGCUAGUUGGUAGGGUAAAAGCCUACCAAGGCGACGAUCCAUAGCUGGUCUGAGAGGAUGAUCAGCCACACUGGGACUGAGACACGGCCCAGACUCCUACGGGAGGCAGCAGUGGGGAAUAUUGGAGCAUGGGCGAAAGCCUGAUCCAGCAAUGCCGCGUGAGUGAGGAAGGCCUUAGGGUUGUAAAGCUCUUUUACCCGGGAUGAUAAUGACAGUACCGGGAGAAUAAGCGCCGGCUAACUCCGUG
This 433-nucleotide ribosomal RNA is filed under the name uncultured bacterium. RNAcentral's name for it is "partial 16S ribosomal RNA". It matches the Rfam family "Bacterial small subunit ribosomal RNA", at positions 29 to 507 of the family's 1533-position model. The record is from RNAcentral.